RNAcentral lists this ribosomal RNA (253 nucleotides) under uncultured bacterium. Its description in RNAcentral is "partial 16S ribosomal RNA". It matches the Rfam family "Bacterial small subunit ribosomal RNA", at positions 524 to 776 of the family's 1533-position model. The record is from RNAcentral.
UACGGAGGGGGCAAGCGUUAUUCGGAAUUAUUGGGCGUAGAGGGCGCGUAGGCGGCUAGAUGUGUCAAAGGUGAAAUCCCUCGGCUCAACUGAGGAACUGCCUUUGAAACUGUCUGGCUUGAGGCCGGGAGAGGGUAGCGGAAUUCCCAGUGUAGCGGUGAAAUGCGUAGAUAUUGGGAGGAACACCAGUGGCGAAGGCGGCUACCUGGACCGGUUCUGACGCUGAGGCGCGAAAGCGUGGGUAGCAAACAGG